UGGCUCAGAACGAACGCUGGCGGCAGGCUUAACACAUGCAAGUUGAACGGGAUUUGUAUGGUGCUUGCACUAGACAAUGAGAGUAGCGCACUGGUGAGUAACACGUGGGAACGUGCCUUGAAGUGGGGGACAACAGUUGGAAACGACUGCUAAUACCGCAUACGCCCUGAGGGGGAAAGAUUUAUCGCUUCAAGAUCGGCCCGCGGAAGAUUAGGCAGUUGGUGGGGUAAAAGGCCUACCAAACCUACGAUCUAUAGCUGGUCUGAGAGGACGAUCAGCCACAUUGGAACUGAGACACGGUCCAGACUCCUACGGGAGGCAGCAGUGAGGAAUAUUGGGCAAUGGAGGGAACUCUGACCCAGCCCAUGCCGCGUGAGUGAGAAGGUCUUCGGAUUGUAAAGCUCUUUCGGAUGGGACGAUGAUGACGGUACCAUCUAAAGAAGCCCCGGCAAACUUCGUGCCAGCCGCUGC
This 471-nucleotide ribosomal RNA is filed under the name uncultured bacterium. RNAcentral's name for it is "bacterial SSU rRNA". It matches the Rfam family "Bacterial small subunit ribosomal RNA", at positions 20 to 518 of the family's 1533-position model. The record is from RNAcentral.